AAAAUCGGCUGUAGAGGUAUGCAAUUUCUUUCUUCGUCAUCAUCAUUUUUCUUUACUUAAUGAAACCAUAAACUCUACAUUCCCUUUUCCUUGAACACUCAUUUGGUUGAAGUGGGUAAUAAAAUCUUGCAAUAUUAUUGUUGGGCAUUUGGAGAAGAAGGUAGUGUUUUAAUUUUCAAUUUUUGGGUUAGUUUCUUUGUCCAUUUUUUGAAUAAUUUCUUCAUGUUGUUGUAUAUAUGUUUAUGAUUUUUAUUUGUGAAUAAUGAUUUUGAAUUAAUUUUAUUAUUAGAUUAGAGUUUUGAUAUGGGUUACUUUCAAACUCUUUUCUCAUUACUCAUCAUCUGUACCAGUUAGAGUAAAAUGUAAGUCUGCAAAUGCAUGUUUGGCUAUUCUUUUUAUUGGUCUAUUAUAAAACAUACAUUUAAUUUUCGUUUGUACAUAACGACUGACAUGUCGUUUUCUACAAUCCGUAACGACUUACAUAUCGUUAUCAGUACUGUACAAUGUUUGAAAUUUGAUGAAAUUUUUAUAUUGAAUUACAGUUAUGGACACCGCGAAUAUGAUAUGGAUGUCAGUUUAUUUUUUAGUUGAAUAUGAGUAGUCGACUGAACGUGUUUAAAAUGAAAAUAUGCAGGGAAUGGCAAAGAAAAAACAACUCCUACUCUUGUUGCGAAAACUAUUUUUUUAUGUAGAAUUAUAUGAUAACGUCAAAGAGGUGUUGAACAUCAAUUCACAACUUUUUCGAAAUUUAAUUGGAAAAAUCGAAUGAUUAAAGAAUCUAUUCACAACUUCAAAUGGUUAUGAGUACAGUCAUAAGAUAUUAGUGGACUGCAUGUUUUUAUUCCCAAAUAAGAUAGAAUAAACCAAUACCUUGAAAUAGAAACUAGUACUUUGGCUUUGUUGGAGCAUACUCUUUUAUUAUUUCAUUUAUAUUUAUUAUGGAUAAUUGAUUCGAAAUUAUUUCCUGCAAAUUACAUAAUCAUCAUGUGUGUUAUCUUGCUCAUUUACUUGCUUUCAAUAUAAAGAUUCAGAAACUUGAAUGUUUACUUUGUGAUUUCAUACUGCAGCUCUCUUGAGGGACAUGCUUACUCAACUUUGCUCUAAGAGGAAUUGAACAUAGCAUGUCGAAUAUUGUGUCAGCCUUUCCCAUCCCCAACCCAAAGAAAAAUGGGAAACGUCGUUUUUUUUUUUCCUUUUUCUUUAAGUGCUACUGGUGGAUGACUUUUUUACAUAGAAACAAUUGGUCUAGCAUUUUAAGCAAUUUGUUCCUUUAGUUUCAUCAAGAUGUAGAUCGAAAGUAUGUGUACAUAUGUGUGUACGAUAGAGACUAUAAUGUAAUGGCUGGCUUAUAUACUAGGCGAACUUCCUGAUU
RNAcentral lists this long non-coding RNA (1372 nucleotides) under Olea europaea (common olive). RNAcentral's name for it is "long non-coding RNA (OEUR_LNC011413)". The record is from RNAcentral. Lineage: Eukaryota; Viridiplantae; Streptophyta; Magnoliopsida; Lamiales; Oleaceae.